This 497-nucleotide ribosomal RNA is filed under the name uncultured bacterium. RNAcentral's name for it is "partial 16S ribosomal RNA". It matches the Rfam family "Bacterial small subunit ribosomal RNA", at positions 28 to 507 of the family's 1533-position model. The record is from RNAcentral.
GAUGAACGCUGGCGGCGUGCCUAAUACAUGCAAGUCGAGCGAACGGACGAGAAGCUUGCUUCUCUGAUGUUAGCGGCGGACGGGUGAGUAACACGUGGAUAACCUACCUAUAAGACUGGGGUAACUUCGGGAAACCGGAGCUAAUACCGGAUAAUAUUUUGAACCGCAUGGUUCAAAAGUGAAAGACGGUCUUGCUGUCACUUAUAGAUGGAUCCGCGCUGCAUUAGCUAGUUGGUAAGGUAACGGCUUACCAAGGCAACGAUGCAUAGCCGACCUGAGAGGGUGAUCAGCCACACUGGAACUGAGACACGGUCCAGACUCCUACGGGAGGCAGCAGUAGGGAAUCUUCCGCAAUGGGCGAAAGCCUGACGGAGCAACGCCGCGUGAGUGAUGAAGGUCUUCGGAUCGUAAAACUCUGUUAUUAGGGAAGAACAUAUGUGUAAGUAACUGUGCACAUCUUGACGGUACCUAAUCAGAAAGCCACGGCUAACUACGUG